Molecule: ribosomal RNA, 524 nt
Filed under: uncultured Nitrospirota bacterium
Lineage: Bacteria; Pseudomonadati; Nitrospirota
Description: bacterial SSU rRNA
Rfam family: Bacterial small subunit ribosomal RNA
Source: RNAcentral
AGAGUUUGAUUCUGGCUCAGAAUGAACGCUGGCGGCGCGCCUAAUACAUGCAAGUCGAGCGAGAAGACGUAGCAAUACGUUUGUAAAGCGGCGAACGGGUGAGGAAUACAUGGGUAACCUACCCUCGAGUGGGGAAUAACUAGCCGAAAGGUUAGCUAAUACCGCGUACGCUUCUUGGACUUCGGUUCAGGGAGGAAAGCGAUACCGUGGGUAUCGCGCUCUUGGAUGGGCUCAUGUCCUAUCAGCUUGUUGGUGAGGUAACGGCUCACCAAGGCUUCGACGGGUAGCUGGUCUGAGAGGACGAUCAGCCACACUGGCACUGCGACACGGGCCAGACUCCUACGGGAGGCAGCAGUAAGGAAUAUUGCGCAAUGGGCGAAAGCCUGACGCAGCGACGCCGCGUGGGGGAUGAAGGUCUUCGGAUUGUAAACCCCUUUCGGGAGGGAAGAUGGAAUGGGGUAACCCAUUCGGACGGUACCUCCAGAAGCAGCCACGGCUAACUUCGUGCCAGCAGCCGCGGUAAU